AGUGAACGCUGGCGGUAGGCCUAACACAUGCAAGUCGAACGGCAGCACAGGAGAGCUUGCUCUUUGGGUGGCGAGUGGCGGACGGGUGAGGAAUACAUCGGAAUCUACUUUUUCGUGGGGGAUAACGUAGGGAAACUUACGCUAAUACCGCAUACGACCUACGGGUGAAAGCAGGGGACCUUCGGGCCUUGCGCGAUUGAAUGAGCCGAUGUCGGAUUAGCUAGUUGGCGGGGUAAAGGCCCACCAAGGCGACGAUCCGUAGCUGGUCUGAGAGGAUGAUCAGCCACACUGGAACUGAGACACGGUCCAGACUCCUACGGGAGGCAGCAGUGGGGAAUAUUGGACAAUGGGCGCAAGCCUGAUCCAGCCAUACCGCGUGGGUGAAGAAGGCCUUCGGGUUGUAAAGCCCUUUUGUUGGGAAAGAAAUCCAGCUGGCUAAUACCCGGUUGGGAUGACGGUACCCAAAGAAUAAGCACCGGCUAACUUCGUGCCAGCAGCCGCGGUAAUACGAAGGGUGCAAGCGUUACUCGGAAUUACUGGGCGUAAAGCGUGCGUAGGUGGUCGUUUAAGUCCGUUGUGAAAGCCCUGGGCUCAACCUGGGAACUGCAGUGGAUACUGGGCGACUAGAGUGUGGUAGAGGGUAGCGGAAUUCCUGGUGUAGCAGUGAAAUGCGUAGAGAUCAGGAGGAAC
RNAcentral lists this ribosomal RNA (690 nucleotides) under Acinetobacter calcoaceticus. Its description in RNAcentral is "bacterial SSU rRNA". It matches the Rfam family "Bacterial small subunit ribosomal RNA", at positions 28 to 707 of the family's 1533-position model. The record is from RNAcentral. Lineage: Bacteria; Pseudomonadati; Pseudomonadota; Gammaproteobacteria; Moraxellales; Moraxellaceae. RNAcentral also lists the same sequence under 1 other name.